This 269-nucleotide ribosomal RNA is filed under the name uncultured prokaryote. RNAcentral's name for it is "partial 16S ribosomal RNA". It matches the Rfam family "Bacterial small subunit ribosomal RNA", at positions 524 to 792 of the family's 1533-position model. The record is from RNAcentral.
UACGUAGGUGGCGAGCGUUGUCCGGAUUUACUGGGCGUAAAGGGAGCGUAGGCGGACUUUUAAGUGAGAUGUGAAAUACCCGGGCUCAACUUGGGUGCUGCAUUUCAAACUGGAAGUCUAGAGUGCAGGAGAGGAGAAUGGAAUUCCUAGUGUAGCGGUGAAAUGCGUAGAGAUUAGGAAGAACACCAGUGGCGAAGGCGAUUCUCUGGACUGUAACUGACGCUGAGGCUCGAAAGCGUGGGGAACAAACAGGAUUAGAUACCCUGGUA